GGGCGGUUAGCUCAGUUGGUAGAGCAUUCCCUUGACGUGGGAAGGGUCAGAGGUUCGAAUCCUCUAUCGCCCACAA
Molecule: transfer RNA, 76 nt
Filed under: Candidatus Nomurabacteria bacterium RIFCSPHIGHO2_01_FULL_39_9
Lineage: Bacteria; Candidatus Nomuraibacteriota
Description: tRNA-Val
Rfam family: tRNA
About the family: Transfer RNA (tRNA) molecules are approximately 80 nucleotides in length.
Source: RNAcentral